This 497-nucleotide ribosomal RNA is filed under the name uncultured bacterium. RNAcentral's name for it is "partial 16S ribosomal RNA". It matches the Rfam family "Bacterial small subunit ribosomal RNA", at positions 28 to 507 of the family's 1533-position model. The record is from RNAcentral.
GAUGAACGCUGGCGGCGUGCCUAAUACAUGCAAGUCGAGCGAACAGAUGAGGAGCUUGCUCCUCUGACGUUAGCGGCGGACGGGUGAGUAACACGUGGAUAACCUACCUAUAAGACUGGGAUAACUUCGGGAAACCGGAGCUAAUACCGGAUAAUAUAUUGAACCGCAUGGUUCAAUAGUGAAAGACGGUUUUGCUGUCACUUAUAGAUGGAUCCGCGCCGCAUUAGCUAGUUGGUAAGGUAACGGCUUACCAAGGCAACGAUGCGUAGCCGACCUGAGAGGGUGAUCGGCCACACUGGAACUGGGACACGGUCCAGGCUCCUACGGGAGGCAGCAGUAGGGAAUCUUCCGCAAUGGGCGAAAGCCUGACGGAGCAACGCCGCGUGAGUGAUGAAGGUCUUCGGAUCGUAAAACUCUGUUAUUAGGGAAGAACAGAUGUGUAAGUAACUAUGCACGUCUUGACGGUACCUAAUCAGAAAGCCACGGCUAACUACGUG